UUUCCAAGCAGCAGCCCUGAGUGGCGAGCAGAUGCGUUGGGGCUGGUGUCCCAUCCGGGCUCAGCCCAUGCGACUAGGACAGCAGAUCGGGUCCUGUUUGUCACUUGGGGCCAGUGUCCUGCAUCCUGUCCACUGUGCUUUACUUCAUCCUGCUUUCUAGAGGGCAGAAAGUGGGUAUAUAGGGGCUGUAGCAGAGGAUAGGGUAGGCAGUGGCAAAAGAAGCUCCUUCCACCCACUCCACAGGUGUCCCUGAGCGUGUGUCAGACAGAGGAUUCAGGUCGUUAGAAUGUAGUGGGGUCUGCGUCCCUACGGAGAUGUACAGAAAGUGCUACGGCUCACAGGAGUGGGGGCCCAGGGCCUUUGCCUUGAGUUACAGCCUUUGUAUAAUUUAGUUUGAGACAGGGACUUGUUAAGACACUAAGUUACCUAAGUUGUACCAAUAAAAUAAAAUUUUUUUUAAAAGAACCAAAAUGGAUUAUAUAAAGGUGCAAAUUUCCAAUGAUGAAUGUCAUUAUAUUUUAUACCUUUAAUGUACCCAUAAAAUUAAUUUUUAAAAAAAGACACGAAGUUGCCCAGGUAGGCGCCAACUGGUGAUCGUUCUUCUUCAGCCUCCCACAGUGCUGGCACUGCAAGCAUGUGUCACCAUGCCCAGCUGAAAAUGCUUUCUGGACCCAAGGAACUAGCCAGCCUGUUUCCAUGAACUAAGGGUGAAAAAUGCCAGCUAGUGGAGAUUCUAAACCCCAGAGCACAGUGGGCCUUAGGAGCAUCUACCGCCUACCCAGGCACAUAACUGGACAUAGAAGCCUUCCCUUUGGGCCCAGCAUGCCUAACCAGCAGUGAGGGUGAAGAACAGAGGCAAACUUCUAGGGCCCCUACUCUCCUGGUGCCUGUUUAGUGGGUCAUGUAACUGAACAUUUCAGUAUAAAGGCUUCAGGUGAGGCUUGAUCCAGCAACUCAGAACGAUCAGCUAGGAGUCCUUCUCCUUCCAUCUCUCCUGUUUGCUAGCCACAGGGCCUUCUUCAUUUCAGGCAUCACAAGAUGCCUGUCCUCAGUUGCUGAGAUAGCUGGUAUUUUUUUCCAUUUGUAGCCCAGGGGAACAAGUAUCAAUAUUUCCCAGGAUCCUCCUUAACAGGUUUAGAGAUUCUCUGUAAUUGAAACAUCUUUAGGUCCUAGGCUACUCCUAAACAAGUCACUUUGGCCCAGAAGAUAGAAUGUGCUGCUGAGCUUGGCCAGGCUCACAUUGAAGGAAAGCCAGAGUCUACGAAACCCGCUGAGUGCUCCACAGGGACCAAGUCCCGAUGGGAGGAAGAAGUGGCUGCCGGGAGACAGAUUCCCCCAGCUGUUCCGUGAGCUGCACACCCUUGGGCGUGUCAGCUCCCCUCCUGGGACCUCAAUACCUUUAGUGCUACACGAGUGGUUGGACGAGGUGGCCCCCUAGAGGCACCAUGUGACUUCUCCCUCCAGGUCUAACCAGAGCUGCCCGGGGCCCACCUUUGCUUUGAAUCUCUGCUCUUUUCUCUUAAGCAGGAAGACUUAACCUCCACAUGACUCCUCUAACCACCGUCCUCCAGGGCUGGGCUCUGACUCCACUCCCUCGGGGGCCCUGGGCUUCAGAAGUGAGGUUAAGGAUCCAGAGCCUCAAGUCCCUGGAGAAAGAGCGGUUGUUUAUCUUGAUUCAUAAAAAGCCACGAAAGAAAGAGGUUUAAAAGCUCCAAGCAGGUUAUGGAUGCUGUAAACAGCUGAUGUGAUGGUUUUCAGAUGAAAAAUCACCCAAGAUAGAAGAUCGGGAAAGCAAGAUCUGGAGGUCAACUGGGCUCAUCUUCCUGUCCCUAGAUGAACGAUGGAUUCCUGUGCUCCCUUGGUGGAGAGCCAGAGCUGUAAAGAAGUUCCAGCUGAUUUGUGGAAUUUCUUCCCUAUCCAAACCCCAAAUCUUGUCUGGUGAGAACAGAAUGAAUCAGUGCACGAGUGAUUUCAACCUGAUGGGUGUGUGCAGCUCUGAGCCCAGAGAGAAGAGGGUACUCACCUUUGAGCAGCUGUCCAGUGGGUCCGAGGACAAGAAAGGGACAUGGACAGCCACGGCAGGGCCAGUAUGCCAGGGAUUAGAGCUACAUCGCCAGUCUUUAUUCCAGCUCUGUGACUUUUCCACGGAGACUUUUAGCAUCACUUGCUAACUUUCUCUGUGUGUCUCUGUUUCUUCAUCUAUACAAGUUUCUUCGUCUAUGCAUCUACAUAUAAUAUGUACUGUUAUAAAAUAAUAAGAGUUGUCCUCCUGUCUCUUGGAAGGAUUCAGUGAGAUAGCCCAUGUAAAUAUUUUUUCCAUGGAGACUAGCACAUAGUAAGUGCUCAGUAAAUGUCAGCUGUCAUUCAUUGGGGCAUUUAUCAGUGAUGGGGUCCAGAAGUCUCAGGGAGAGCCAGGAAGGGUGCCUGGAGUGGGGGCACUGACUGGAGACCUUGGCCUUGAUGGGAGGCGGCAGGGCUCCCCCGGCCAGGGCCCUGCCAGUCCAUGGCACUCUUCGGGUCACUGCGGUGCUGGCUGCGAAUGCUGAUUUCCGAGUGAGGAGCAGGGGGCUCCCUGGCAGUGAGGAAGCUGGCAGAUUGGAGCCCAGCUCACGCAGGUGCUCCGAAGCCAGACGGACACCGCAGCUCCUUCUAAGUGGGCAUUGGCCAGGAAGUAACACUACAGAAGGAGCCGCCUGGUAUCAGGCUGCUCCCUAAAGAAAGGGCGCUCUCAGCCUGGCCGGGGACACACGUCUGUGACGCCAGCACAGUGGGAGGCUGAGGCAGGAGGGUCACAAGUGUGAGCCCAGUGGAGCAAUAUAGCUCCCUACCAAGACACUGGGUUCAAUUCCCAGACUGGAAAGAAAGGAAAGAAGGAAGGAAGAGGGGACCCCCCCCACACACACACACUCUGUGGCCCAGCAGUGGGGUACCAGGGAACUAGGGCUUGACGUGCAUCUGUGUGAAUUUAAAUAAACUUCAGACUAAGAGUAAAUUUAGUGAGAUGCAUUCUUCCUUUUUCCAUCUCAAUCAUCUAUCUGUUUCUGGUUGGUUUAUUAGAGUCUGUUUUUACCCAAACUUGACCUAUUGCCCUG
Molecule: long non-coding RNA, 3092 nt
Organism: Heterocephalus glaber (naked mole-rat)
Lineage: Eukaryota; Metazoa; Chordata; Mammalia; Rodentia; Bathyergidae
Source: Ensembl